CUGUUAUGGCUGAGGUUCAGCACCAGCAUAUUCUUGGCGUUCUCCAGCUCCCGUGGGCAUUCCGUCAGCUGGUUGUAGCUCAAGUCCUGUGUAGAACGGGCGAGGCCAGGUCUGGACUCCGAGACUCCCUGUGGGAAGAGUCAGGGGAAGGCUGACUUUGGAACAGACACACAGAAGUGGCCAGAAAUACAGGUCCCAGCACUGGG
Long non-coding RNA from Leopardus geoffroyi (Geoffroy's cat), 206 nucleotides. RefSeq lists it as uncharacterized. The record is from RefSeq and is a predicted model, not a curated record. Lineage: Eukaryota; Metazoa; Chordata; Mammalia; Carnivora; Felidae. The transcript is spliced from 2 exons.